RNAcentral lists this ribosomal RNA (189 nucleotides) under uncultured bacterium. RNAcentral's name for it is "partial 16S ribosomal RNA". It matches the Rfam family "Bacterial small subunit ribosomal RNA", at positions 587 to 775 of the family's 1533-position model. The record is from RNAcentral.
GUCUGGAAUGAAAUGCCGGGGCUUAACCGGAGUAGUGCAUUGGAAACUGGGAGACUUGAGUGCAGAAGAGGAGAGUGGAACUCCAUGUGUAGCGGUGAAAUGCGAAGAUAUAUGGAAGAACACCAGUGGCGAAAGCGGCUCUCUGGUCUGUAACUGACGCUGAGGUUCGAAAGCGUGGGUAGCAAACAG